Molecule: ribosomal RNA, 325 nt
Filed under: uncultured eukaryote
Lineage: Eukaryota
Description: partial 18S ribosomal RNA
Rfam family: Eukaryotic small subunit ribosomal RNA
Source: RNAcentral
CCUCUAGAUGUUCUGGGCCGCACGCGCGCUACACUGAUGCAUUCAACGAGCCUAUCCUUGACCGACAGGUCCGGGUAAUCUUUGAAUCUGCAUCGUGACGGGGAUAGAUUAUUGCAAUUAUUAAUCUUCAACGAGGAAUGCCUAGUAGGCGCAAGUCAUCAGCUUGCGUCGAUUACGUCCCUGCCCUUUGUACACACCGCCCGUCGCUCCUACCGAUUGGGUGUGCUGGUGAAAUGUUCGGAUCGGCCGUUUGUCGCGGUUUCCGCGUCAUGUGGCUGAGAAGUUCAUUAAACCCUCCCACCUAGAGGAAGGAGAAGUCGUAACA